GCAUAACGCGAAGAACCUUACCAAGGCUUGACAUGCAUCUCUAAGCGCGUGAAAGCGCGUGACUCUUCGGAGGAUUUGCACAGGUGCUGCAUGGCCGUCGUCAGCUCGUGUCGUGAGAUGUUGGGUUAAGUCCCGCAACGAGCGCAACCCCUGUGAUUAGUUGCCAGCACGUGAUGGUGGGGACUCUAAUCAGACUGCCCAGAUCAACUGGGAGGAAGGUGGGGACGACGUCAGGUCAGUAUGGCCCUUACGCCUUGGGCUGCACACGUACUACAAUGCCCAGCACAAUGAGAACCGAGACCGCGAGGUGGAGGAAAUCUACAAAACUGGGCCCAGUUCGGAUUGGAGGCUGCAACUCGCCUCCAUGAAGCCGGAAUCGCUAGUAAUGCUGCAUCAGCUACGGCAGCGUGAAUACGUUCCGGUCUUGUACACACCG
Molecule: ribosomal RNA, 436 nt
Filed under: uncultured bacterium
Lineage: Bacteria
Description: bacterial SSU rRNA
Rfam family: Bacterial small subunit ribosomal RNA
Source: RNAcentral